This 13354-nucleotide long non-coding RNA is filed under the name Phaseolus vulgaris (common bean). RNAcentral describes it as "long non-coding RNA (PVUL_LNC001853)". The record is from RNAcentral. Lineage: Eukaryota; Viridiplantae; Streptophyta; Magnoliopsida; Fabales; Fabaceae.
UUUCCUUUCUGUUAAUCUGCUAUUGCAAUAUGGCUUUCAAAAGGAAGAUAUCAUUACUUAUCCCAACCCUGUUCGCCAUUUUCCUUUUCCUCUCCUCAGAUGUGGCAGCAAGGGAAUUGAAAGAGAGUGAGCUAUCUAUCCUUUUACGUACCUUCUUUUUUCAUUUGCAACUUUAAAGUAAGAGAUAAAGUAUAAAAUGUUAUCAAUAUGAUUUCUUUUAUCGUUCAAAUUUUAUAAACAACUACACAAAUUUUGCAAAGCAAACUACUACCUAUAUAUGCAUAUAAAAAAGUGUUCAAAUCAUAAAUUAAAUUAAGAGAGUUAAACUCCAAAUCAAUUUACCAGGUUUUUGUAAAGAUAAUUUUUUUAAUAGAUUUUUAACACACACACACAAAAACACACACACACACAUAUAUAUAUAUAUAUACAUAAAACAAAAUGACCAUUUGAAAGAGAUAAUUGGGUAGAAAAACACAUAUGUGUGCCUUUCUUAAUGUAUUUUUAUGUAAUAUCAUUAAAACAUUUUUCAAUAUACAAUAUGUUUACCAUAAAGGGUUUCUUAAUCUUUUUCAUUCGGUCAUAAGGAACUCUCCUUCUAACCUUUUUAUGUUUUAUAAAUAAUCAUGGUGGUGGCUUCCCAGUUUCUGGUCGCGAUCGUCGUGCGUUCUCUGGCGAUGGUGGCUUCUUGGGUGGUUCCUACGGUGGUGGUGGAUACUUUGGCCCCUACCGUGGUGGACCUGGACCUUUCGGUGGACCUUUCGGUGGACCUGGACCUUUCGGUGGACCUUUCGGUGGACCUGGACCUUUCGGUGGACCCUAUGGUGGUGGGUACGGUUUCCCCUACUAUGGAAGAUUUGGUUCCGGUGGAUUCGGUUCUGGUGAAUUUGGACCUGGUGGUGGAUUCAAUAACUUUCCUGGUGGUCGUGGUGGUAGUGGUGUUGGAUUCGGCAACUUUCCUGGUGUAGCCGGUGGGUUACCUAACAAUCCUGCUGGUGGAAGAUUGCCGUGAUAGGUAUUAUCAAUAUGGGGAUGUAGCGAGAGAGUUGAGAGAGUGCAAUUCUACGUACUUAAUAAUAUAUUUCAUCAAUAAAAUCUCUUGAUGUUAUGAGAGGCAUGGAUGGAAAGACAGCAAAGAUGCAUGCAUGCAUGCUUUGUCUCUUUUCUCCUCACCUUUCUUACCACAAGGAGAUAGGUUUCAGCAAUAGGUUUUUACUUUAUGCCUGUGAUCUUUGAUUAGUUUAAGAGCAUACUUAAAUAUCUGCUGUACAAAUAAGUUGUCUUCAAUCCUGAUUUUUUCUUCUGCUAUUACUAUCUAUCAUCAUCCUCUUUGCUGUUAAGUUUCUCCUUAAUUCACUCUGUUUAUCAUAUCAUUACAAUUUACAGCCAUGUGUAUUGAUUCAGAAAGCAGAUAAAUUAGAAAGCCUAAGCUUAAUCUAACAAGGUCAACGCUGCAGUAUUUAAUUUCCCCAUUAUGCCUAACUUAAAUGAAUAAGGACUAAAACAUCUUAGAUCAUGAAUAUUGUAUAAAUGUCAAGAAUAAUAUCAUAUAAAUUAAAAGUAUCCUUAAUGAACAAAAAAAUUAACAGGUAAAUAUUAAUCCUCAUUUUUAGUCUAUUCAAGACAUGCCAGAAAAAAGUAAUCAAUGUAUGAUUAGUUUGUUAAAAAGAAGAAGAAAAAGGAAGCUAAUAAUCGCUAAGGAACCAAUAUCACAUAAAAGAUUUAAAUUAUGUUUCGUAUGACAUUUUUUUUGUCAUUUUUAUUUUAAUUAUAAAGCAUUUUUUUAAUUAGAUUUUUUUAUUGAAAAUAAAUAAAUUAGAGUAUUAGAGGGAUAUUAAUAGAAUAAUUGUUUUUAAUUAGAAACUGUUUGAAGAUUUAUUAAUUUGAUUAACACUAAUUACCUCUUGAAUGAAAAUUAUUUUGACAAUAGUAAACAAAAAUAUGUAAAUUAAUUUAAUCAUAUUAAUUUUAAAGAUAAAAAAAUCUAUAAAAGUACACAAUAUAUACAUUUUGAUCUUCAACUUUUAAAAUGUCAAAAAUGAUUUUGAACUAAAAUAAAUAUUUUACAUAUAUUAAUUAUAUACUAUAUUAUUAUAGUUAAACAUAUCUAAUCACUAAUUACAAAAUAUAAAAUAUUUAAAAGUUUCUAAAUAGUUUUUCAGUGAAUUUUUUAAGAUAAUAAAAAAGUAAUUGAACAUAAUUCUACAACGUCAACAUAUAUGUAAAAUAAUAAAAAAUAUUUUAUAAAUACUUUUUUAUUAAAAUUUGAAACAUAAGUACAAUUUAAAGUCAACACUUUUAAGAGUUACAAAAUAAUUUAAUCAAUAAAAUAAAUAAAUCUGACUUACAAUUGUAUUAUAAUGUACAAUAUAACUCAAGAAAAUUAAGUUUGAAUUAAAUUAUUAAAUAUUUUUUAAAAAUUCUAUACUAUUAUUUGAUCAUAUUUUUAUAAAAUUAAAAACCAUUUAUUUAAAUAGAAUCAAAUAAUUUCAGUGUAUAUUAAAAGUAUUUUAAAGGUAGUGACAUUUGUGUACAAUUUAAGGUCUUUGUAUAGCAUUCAAAGGUAUUUCUUUCAAUGGUUUUUAAUUUAGAUUUAUGAAAGUUGAUUUUUAACCUAGAGGCAAGCUCAUAACACCUUAGAAUACCUUUGAUUAUAAACACACUUUGAUAGUUAUCUUUACACAAAAAGAGGAUAUCAUCUGCAAAUUGUAGCAUAGAUAAUUUUGUUCAACAAGGUGCUUUGAAGUCUUCAAAUACAAGAGGAAUGCUUGAAGACUUUGUUGCCAGUUUUGUGUGUGUGUCUAGUAGUCUUUGAAUUGUUAAUCCACGCUUUAGGAUGAUCCAAGGUUAAUUGAAUCUUAAUCCUUUUGAAAAAUAUGAGUUUUCUAAAGAGUGUGAAAUUUCAACCUGUUGAAAUGUCGAUUCAACCGAUUGUUUGACACUUAGUGGCUUUUAAAAUGAGUUUGAAAAGCUUGACUUUGUUUUCACUUUGUUGUCAAACUGAUUCAACCAGUUGUUUCAAGAAUUCAACUAGUUGUUUUUAUGGAAACCUUACCCAGGUGUAUUUUAUUCCUUUCUUCCUUGAGCAUUGUAUUUCUGUGUGUACUCGUGUGGUGCAAUUUCAGAAGGUGUUUUGGAAAUUGUAUUUUUUGCCAAAGAGUGGUGUGUGUUCUUGAGGGGUUCAAGAUCAUUACUCUUGGUGUGUGGUUUGUAAUAUAGGUUUGAUUACAUAGUGAAUUCUCAGUGGUUAGCUGAGGACUAGAUGUAGCUCUUAGUUAAGAGUGAACCAGUAUAAACAUCUUUUAUGAAUUUGUCUAUCCCUACACUCAUUAAACUGUUUUAACUUUGAUUUUUCAAAUAUGUUGGUAUAAACAACCGGUUGUUUCGUGAAAACAACAAGUUGAUUAUCUGGAAUCAAACUUAAAAUUAGUUUUCUAUUUGGCUUAAUAGAUUUUAAUUGAUUGAUUCUUCAUAGCCUUUCACUCUGCCUUCAAUACUUGCAAAAAUCUUUCAAAAACAAUUCACCCCUUUUUGUUUAAGGCUUCUAAUUCUAACAAAUUCAACCUUAAGCCUACCUACCUUCACACCAUUAAGCAAAUUCCUCUUAACAUCUUGUCUCACAAGUCCUACAAAGCCUUUAACUGCUGUGAGAAAAAAAAAAGGGGUGCAAAAGGGUCACCUUGCCUCAAUCCUAGAUUAAAUUAUGUUGUAGGGCUUCCAUUUGCUAACACUAUCACCGAUGCAGACACCAAACACCCUUUAAUCUAGUUGGUCUAUUUUUCAUGAAAUCUUAAUAUUUGUAGCAUAUCAAAUAAGAAAUCUCACCUGACUGAGUUAUAAGCCUUUUCAUAGUCCACUUUCAAGCAAACACCUCUCCUUCCUCUCCUCUUAAGACCCUUUAUAGCAUAUUGGCUAUCAAAACGCUAUCUAGCAUCCCUCUAUCCUUCAAGAAAGUAGAUUGAUUUUCAUCAAUAACCGAUGGUAGAACCUUCUUAAUUCUACUAGUUAACACCUUCGAGAUAAUCUUAUAUAAGGCCCCAACUUAGGAUAUUGGUCUAUAAUUUUCAAGCUUUAAGGGAUCACAUACUUUAGGCACAAGAGCAACGAAAGAUGCAUUAUAGCCUUAGGAAUACUACCUAUGUCUUGAAAGUGCCUGACCGCCAUUACUAUAUCCUCUUUAAAGACUUCCCAUCUAUUCUUUAUGAAAUUAAAAUUAAAACCAUCUUGUCCCGAAUUUUUUUGACCAUCACAUUACCACAUAACUUCCUUUACUUCUUUUGUAAUUUAUGAGAUUAGACUUAUAUUAUCCUCUUUAAAUAUAGAAUUAAACUCAACUGCUCCAAAUCUAAUCCCAUAGUCCUUUGUGACAGAGAAUCUAUGUUCAAACAGAUAUUUUGCUUUUGAUCUUACCUGUAUGUUCAAACAGAUUUUUUGCAUUUGUUUAUUGCUAAUAUAGUAUAUAUUUUAUUAUAUAAAUAAAUAUAUAAUUAUAUUUUAAUUGAAAAAUAAAUAUACUAAGUUUAUUAAUAUUUUUAUUUUUAAAGUAAUUAUAAUCAUAAAUAUAAAUUAAAAAUUAACGCGUAUAUUUAUGUAAUUAUUUAAAUAUUUAUUGUUACCCAUUUUGUCUCUCUAAAUUAUUUUAGAGACACGAGUUGUUAAUCCCAUUAUUUUAAAAGUUAAAUAAUUAAAUGAUAUAUUUAUUAACUUUAUUGGUAGAUUAAUUAUUUUAAUUACAAUUUUCAGUUUUUAUUUUUAUGUUUUUCAUAUGAUAUAUAUUGCACUAAUAAUUUUAUUUUAUAUCGCAAGUUAUUUUCAAUUAAGUUUAAAAUUAAUUAUAAAUAAUAUAUAAUUAAAUAUAUAUGAAAUAUUUGUUAUAUUAAUUACAAUAUUCAAAAUAAGUUGAUAAAUAUAAAAAUACACAAAAAUAAUGAUAGGAAAUAUAUUAUUAUUAAUUUUUUAAAGUAUAAUAUUUAAGUAAUAAAAUAAAUAUUAAAAAUAAUAUUAUUUAUAAAGUAAAAGUAUAGUAUAAAAUAAUUUUAAAAACAGAAAAAUUGAAUAAACAAAUAUGAGAUUUUUUUUUAUGUUAGACAUAUAAGAACAAUUUUUUUAAUGUUAUACAUUGAAUAACAAUUUUUAUAUGCAACAUCACAUUCUAUGAAUGUUGUAAAGUAAAAAAAAAAACAUUUCCUAUUGAUUCUGGGGAAUGAUUUUAAAAUGUGGCAUACAAAUUUGAAAGAUAUUUUACACUAGCAUAUGAGAGGAAUUUUUUCUUUGUACAUAAUUAACAUAAUUAAGCACAAUUAAGGCUUAAGUGUGCUAGGAAAUUUCUCCACUCUGUCCAUAUCUUGAUGCUUACAAUACUUAUUUUUUUUAUAAAAAAUAAAAUAAAAUAAAAUAAAAAUAUUUUAAAAAUAUUUUUUUUCAGCAAUUAAUAAAUUAAAUGGUUGUUCUGUUCUAAUCCAUAAGGGAAGUAACCUUGUGAUUAUGUAUAUAGGGUGGAUACCCAUGAAAUAUCCUGUUAAUUUAAUUUAUUAAUUGCUAAAAAAAAAACCUUAUACAUAACAUCAUUUCAAUAUAUCAACACCUCAAAGACUAAAAAAAAAUCUUACAAUCCCCCAAAAAUACUACCAAAAUUAAUUCUAAUACUUUCACAUAAAUAAAAACUAAACUCUGUAUAAAAAAGUCAAGAUUUCAUAAGAUACAUAAAAUAAGACUUUUCUCCAUAUUGAUAUAUGUAUCUUUCUAUUCCAAUCCAAAUUUUAUUCAACCUCUUUCCAAGUUUUACUGUAUUCCUAAUAUCAAGAAAUUCAACAAACUCAAACCUCUGUUCUUUCAAAUUGAGACUCCUUCAGAUGAACACUUCUUGGAUUCUUUCUUCAACAUCUCCUUUUCAUUGAAGUUUCUGGAAAAUGUCAAAAGAAGAUGUGAAAAGACGAAUGAUGUUUCGCAUUUUGCCCAUAUUCCUCGCUCUCGUUGGUACCCCAAACCAAAAUUGUGUUCCUUAACAGCUCAUACUAUCACUGUAAAUAGCUAAGGCUUUCUCUUUCUUUUGAGCUUUAUUUGUUUUCAUAUAGAUGUACUGUUCCCAAGGAAAGAAGUGAGAGGAUAUCAAUGGUUUGGAUCAGAGUUUUGCAGGAAAGAGGAGGAGAGAAUAUACUUGUGAACAGUAAAUAUCCUCUCCCUCAAAAUGAAGAGAUGUAGAGGGAAAGCCACAUCAGCAUAUGCUAUUUACGAAUUUACCCUCAUUCAUUUACAAGGAUUUUUAAUAUUAAAAAACAGUAUUUUUUUAUUUAUAUAAGAUGUGAUUUUUUUUCUUCUAAUUUUAUAGUAUAUAUUUAAUAUUUUAAUAAAUUAUUUGAAGUUUUUUUUAUUUAAUUUGUUGUGCGUUUAUAUUAAUAUAUUUUUUAUAAUUAUUAUGUUUUAAUUUAUUUGAUAAUAGUUUUUUAUGAAAUUAUUUUCUAUUGUUAAUUACGUUAUAUUUUUUUUAUUACUAUAUGGCUUUUAAUAAUAAAAAAUACUAUCUUUUAUUUAUAUAAGAUCUGAUUUAUUUUUUAAUUUAUUUUUUAAUUUUAUAAUGCAUGUUCAAUAUUUUAAGAAAUUAUUUGAAGUUUUAUUUUUAUUUAAUUUGUUGAAUACAUUUUUUUUCUAAUUAUAAUUUUUAAAUUAUAUAUACUUAUAGUUAAUAUAUAUUUAUUUUCUAAUUUUAACUUUUAAAUCUACGAAAUAUGGGAAAGUUGUUUAUUUCUAAACAAAAAUAACUCAUUUCAUUAUUAAAAAAAUUUAAUAGGCAUGGAUAAAUUUGUAAAGUAACAUUUAACACUUUAAAAAAAAAUAAAAUCUCUCACAACCAUCAUAUUACUCACAAACUCCCAUAAACUUUCCUCACACAUCCACCCUAAAAUACCCCAAUCCAAACAACCUCACUUUCUUCACACUUUCUUCUCACAUCCUCAUAUAUCCACUCCCUCAAAUCCUCACACACACUUAUUUGCUUCAAUGAAUGUACUGUUCAAAGAGGAAGGAUGUGAGUGGAUAUCCAUGGUUUGGAUCAAGGGAUGUGCAGGGAAGUGAAAGAUGUGAACAGUAAAUAUUCUCUCCCCUCAAAAUGAAGAGAUGUAGAGGGAAAACCAUGUCAGCAUCCCUUAUUUCCAAAUUUACCCUCAUUUGAAUGUAUCACAAUGCUUCAUUUGAAUGUACAAUGUUUAAAAUAUAUAUAACAAAAACAUUUUAUAGUAUAUGUUUAAUAUUUAAAGAAAUUAUUCGAAAUUCUGUUUUUAUUUUUAUUUUUGUUAUGUUUUUAUUUUCUAAUUAUAGUUUUAAUAUUAUACUUAUUUACAUUUAACAUAUAUUUUUUUUUAAUUAUAAUUUUUAAAUCUACUCAAUGUGUGAAAGUUUUUCAUAUUUAAACAAAAACAACUCAUUUUAUUAUUAAUUUUUUUAAUAGGCAAGGAUUAAUCUGUAAAGUAACAUUUCACACUUUUAAAAAAAAUUAAAAUUCCCUCAUAACCAUCACAUCACUCACAAACUCCCAUAAACUUUCCUCACACAUCCAUCCUAACAUACCCCAAUCCAAACACCCUUAUUUUUUUCACACUUUCCUCACACAUCCUCACACAUCCACUCCCUCAAAUCCUCACACAUCUCCUCCCUAAUCCAAACAGAGCCUUAGAGAGAGAUCAAAGAUGGAAAGUGUUUGGAUAUAGACUUAAAUUUCAAAAAUAUUAUUUUUUAUUUUAGAAAUUAUAUAUAAUCACAGUUUUUUGGAUUGUUUGAUUAAAAAAAUGUAUAGAUCAAUAAUAAAAUCAUUUGUGAAAAAAAAAUGUUACAAAACAAGAAAAUAUUAUAAUGGAGUAUGUAUUAUAAAAUCGGACAUCACAGAGUAUAUGGAACCAAAUUUCUCACCAUCACUAAUAGAUAGUAGUGCAAUAAUAUAUUGUCACAAAUUUGUUAUUUUAUCACAAAUAAAUACAUAUUUGUUUAAUAAAAACAUUUUUCUUUCAUAAAUUCUGACAGGGAAUUUCAUAACAAAACUAGAAAGUCACUUAAAACAAGAUAUAAUACUCUUUUUAAGUGAGAAAGAGAGCAUAAAUAAGAAAACAUGUGCUUUAAAUGAUUUACGUACAGAGAUCUCUACUAAUUAUUUUACUUAAACUUUCCGAUUUAAAUGAGAGAAUAACUACCAUGUAUAAUUUUAUCGAAUUUUAUUUAUACUAUAAUAUAUGUUAAAUAUUUAUAAAAUAUCACAACGUUUUUAUUUAUAUAAUUCUUGACUUAAUAUAGAAUGAAUUAAUAACAAUAAUACAAAUAAGUACUAAAGGAAACAUAGAAAAAUAGAGAAAUUUUAUUUUUAUUAGAAGAAAUUGUUCUAGCUAAGAGAGAUGUCUCUCAAGCACAUCGUGUAAUGGAGGUUGGUUAAAUUUUGAGGGGGCUCGAUCUGCAGAAGAUACUCUGAUACUCAAGUCAGUAAGAUCAUCAAAUAUAAUGAGUAUAAUAUAAAAUAUGAGUUGAAAGUACUCCCUGUGUUAUGUAUUAGAUAAUUCUUUCUGUAGAGCGUAAUCUGGUAUAUAUAGACCGAGUUGUAACCUUCUCGUCUUUACCCAUGAUUCUGUCUUAAUUGAGUGAUUAAGGCUAAUUAAUUGAGAUUCCUUGACUUGUACUUUCUCAUAAUGUUAGAUACACAGAUCGAAAAACGACACAUAAAUGACCAACCAUCGGACCAGACCCAUGACCUUACACAUGUCCCCAACCUCAUACGUAUACCAAUGAGGUUAUGGUGAGUUGAAUGUCAAAAAAUGAACCAUUUAUUAUAUUCCAUUGAAUUAUAGGCCCAUAGCCAUAUAGAAAUAUAUGUACAUUCAAAAUAGAAUAAAACAAAAUAAUGAUACAAAAGAAAAUAAAAAAUAUAUACAUUAACAUGUUUCUAAUCCCUAGGUAAAUUUCUUUAAAAAUAUUUUUGACUUAAAGAAAAUUUUUAUAUUCUCAGAAGGUGUUCGAAGUUUUUAUUUAUUUUACUCUUUGCUAUAUAUAUAAAAAAAAAGACCUUAAUGUUCUAUAACGCCAAUAAUUAAUUAUUACGGUUAAACCAUCGACCUAGCUACGUUUUUGCAAACAGUUGGUAAGUUUUGGUAUUUUAAUGUGAGUAAAAGUCUUUAAUAAUCCGAUAAAAUAAUGGUAGAGAAAAUAUUUAAAAUUCACUUUCUCCACAAAAUCAAGGAACUAGAUCUAAGAGAUGAAUAAAGUGGGCUAAAUGAAGAACAAAGGAAAAAGAGAAGAAAUAGCUAAAACAAAUCAGUUUUAAAUGAGGUAUUAUAAAAGAAAAAAUCAAAAUGGAUGACACUGGGAGAAUCAAAUAUAUCACCAUUGGACAAGAUUGAAAAAUGACAUAAAGGUAUAAAUAUAAGAAAAAUGAUAAUUUGAUAAUUCUUAGAGUUGUACAAUUUUUAAUGUAAUAAGUUUAAAAAUAAAUAUAAAUAAUAAAGAGUAAAUUUGUGAUAUAAAAAAUUUGAAAAAUAACAUGAGAGAAUUUGAAAAAUAACAUGAAUGUCAUUAAUAAAAGAAUUGUGGGAGCAUAAAUAUAACGUAAUAUACUAGGUGCAAUGACAGAUGGGGUGAAAAUAUUUGCUUAGUUAAAAGCUUAGACAUAGGUUAUAGAUUUAGAGAAUAUAACAAAGUUUUCAUAAACACAAUAGUGUAUAUGUCCAAGAACAUGCAUCACUAGGACACACAAAAAUAAAUAAGACACACAAAAAUAAAGGUUAAUAUGUAUAACAAAGGUGUUUCUCUAUUCUUCCAUGCUUAUAUACGCAAAAUAUUGUAUGUCAUUGCAUAUUCGGAUCAAUGUGAUUUUCUCUUAAUGCUAGUAGUGUUAACACCCUUUGGAUUAUGUAGUAAUCCCAUAAAUUGAGUCUUUCCCAUAAAUUUCUUUAACUUAAAAUUAGCUCACAUCCCGAAACCACAAGCUAAUUAAAUAUAUACAUAUCCAUGGAAAGAUCAUCUCUUCACAUAUCUAUCGGUUGCAUGAAUAAUCUGCAGUUGAUGCUUGAAUAGCAUGGAAUGUAAUUCUAAAUCCAAAUGUGAUUAAAUUUUAAAGCAAACAUUCAUGCUUGAAUUUAAAAAAAGAAAAUAUUUUGAGAAGUUAUGGUUUAUUCAGACCCAGUUUAGAAUUACAUCCCACUGAGAAUCUAAGAAGCCUCAACACGGAAAUUAAGAAGUCAUAAGCUAUUCUAAAAUUACGUUCAACACAGAAAUCUAAAAUUAAGUUCAACAUGCAAAUCCAGGUCUAAUAAAGAAAAACACAAUGUAAUAAAGCUACCAGAAUGGGAAAUGGUUCCAAUUGAGCUAGGGCUUUUUAGGCUUCUUUUUCUUGGAAGAUGAGCUGCAAUUUUUUGCUCCACCAACCCUCUUUCGCACUUCAUCUUUUUUCUUCUCCCUCAUGUAGGGAUUCCCUGCUUCAAUUGGAGUUGAAUCAGCUGGGUUUCUGUUCGUCCCACAAAAGCUUUCAGAGAUAUUGUUGUUCAGGGACACUGGAGUUUCACGAGUAUGACCACAAUGUUGUGUUGAAGUUUCUUCUUGAUCAAGCAGGUCACAAGGAGAAGGGCCAUUGAAGUUCCCACCAAAGAUUGCUGGAGCAUGUGAUUUUCCAGACAACUUACCUUUCAGGGAACCAUAGGUCUGAGAUGAACCAAUUAUAUCCAUUUUAGUGUUUGAAGAUUUACCUGGAUUAAGCUUAAGCUUCUGGAGAAUUGGAUCACUGCCUCCUGUGGCAACACUCAAGUCCAUAGAUACUCCACGACCAAUCUUUCCAUUUAGCAUCUCUCGGUCAGUGGAAUGAUCAAAAUUCAUUUCCUUCAACUGAUCAGUCUGUGACUCAGGUUCUACAUUUGACAUAUUAUUUUGAGAUAUUUCUAGUAACGCCUCUAAAGCCACGAGUUCGUUAUCUGCCCUAGUGGCGCCAUCAAUUUCCUACAAGAAGAUGGUGUUGGAAUAUCAGAAGUAAUUCUUUUUCCUUGUUCCAGAUAUACAAAAAUGAUCACUUACUAAAAUAAUAAUAAGUAAAUAAAAAAAAAGAAUAAAACAGAAUAAUCACACAAAUAUGUUUUAACGUUGAAAAACAUUUUUAACUUCAAAAAUAAAAAUUCAAAUACUCAAUUUAAAAAAUAGCUCUACUAUAAAAACAAGAUUACGAUAUUUAUUUUUAAUAAUAAAAUAAGUAAAAAAUGUUACUUAAAUAAAAGUGACAACAAACAUAUUUUAAAUAAAAAGUAUUAACUAAAUGAUGUAGAGAAACUAUCAGUUAUCCUGUGAAGGAACACAUGCAUAUGAUAAUAUAAUGUAACAGAUUAUUUACGAUAGAAUGGUGAAAAGAAAUAGAGUUUUUUUAAUAUAAGAUUUAAGUAUAAUACUAACAUUACCGGGACACUAUUAAAUAUGAUAUUGUGGAUGCUGUGCAAUUCUUCCAUGAAACAAGUCGUUUUUUUAUGGAUUGUAAUGCAUCCUUCAUAGUUUUGGUUUCUCCUUUAUGGAUUGUAAUGCAUCCUUCAUAGUUUUGGUUUCGAAAGUGAGAGAUCCCUCUAAUCUUGAUCAAUACAUACUAUCUUUCUAGUGGGCUCUCUGUACAAUAUCAUUUUUAAGGUGUUAUCUUGUCGUAUUAACAAGGUGCUCCUUACAGUUCUUGAUGAAAGCCAGUUCUUGAUGAAAGCCAAUCAACCUUUCUGAAGGAUAGAGGGAUGUUAGAUAAUGUUCUUGUGUCUAAUGAGGUUAUUGAGGACAUAAGAAGGUAUAUGAGGAGUGGUUUAUGCUUGAACGUGGAUUAUGAAAAGGCGUAUGAUUCGGUAAGUUGGGAUUUUCUACUUGAUAUGUUACAUAGGCCAAGUUUUCAUAAUAGAUGGAUUAAGUGGAAAAGAGGUUGGUUGGAGUUUGCGACCGUGUCAGUUCUAGUUAAUGGAAGUCCUAUGGAGGAAUUUAGAUCAUCGAGAGGGUUGAUACAGGGAGACCCCUUAGCCCCAUUUCUCUUUAUUGUUGUUGCUUAAUGCUUGGCAGGGCUAGUUAGACAAGCAGUCAAGGCCAACGUGCUUGGAGGUGUGAAGGUGGUGGAGAGGAAUGAGGUGGAAGUUUGCGUGUUACAAUUUGCUGAUGAUACCUUGUUUAUGUGUGGAGAUUCCUUCUCUAAUGUGUUCACGUUAAAAGCUAUCUUAAGGUGUUUCAAGCUAGUCUCUGGUUUGAAGCCUAACUUCCAUAAUUCUAAGUUGGCAGGCAUAAAUGUUGAUAGAAAUUCCCUUGAAGUUUAUGCAAAAUCUAUAAACUGCUCUCUAAUUAGGAUUCCUUUUAAAUACUUGGGGUUAGAAGUAGGAGGUAACCCAAGGAAGAAGCAGUUUUGGGAGUAAAUUUUGAGCAAAAUUAGUGUUGGACUUAAUGCUUGGAAGGGGAGAUUCUUAUCGUUGGCGGGAAGAAUAUGUUGAAUCAAAUCAAUUUUUACAGCUCUACCCCUUUUCUACUUUUUUUUUGGUCGGCAAAGAAUAAAAUAAAUUAAAGGGGACACUUCAGGGGUGACCCAACCCUUAUACAAAAACCAUCAUUUUACCCCUUUUCUACUUAUCCUUCUUUAAAGCUCUAAGUUAGUUUGUAAUAGAAUCAUCAGUAUCCAAGAAGGUUCCUAUAAGGAUAAUAGGUCAAUCUCUUGGGUAAGGUGGUAGAACUUGGGCAAACCAGUGGAGGAAGGCGGAUUGGGAAUUAAAGAUAUUAGAAAGUUCAAUGGAGCCCUUAUAGCAAAAUGGAAGUGGUGCCUGAUGGGUAAAAGGGAUGUGGAAAGAAAUUCUAGUAUCUAAAUAUGGCUUGGAUUCAGGUCGUAGCCAACCUCUUCUGAAAUGCCAAUCGUGGUGGUGGAAAGACUUAUCUAAAGUAUGUAACAAGGGGAAAGGAGAUGAGUGGUUCCAAGAAGCAUUGGAAUAGAAAGUUGGAUGUGGAGACAAAGUUAGAUUUUGUGGAGACGUAUGGGUUAGUAGAAAUAGUUUGAGUACUCCGUAUCCUAGGUUGUAAUCUCUAUCUGUGGAUCAGGGGUUGAUGGUGAGCGAGGUAGGUGAAUGGGAAGACUCAGUAUGACAUUGACGAUUAAAGUGGAGGAAGGCCAAAUUUGAAUGGAAAUAUGUGCAAGAAGAAGAAAUGUUCAGGUUUAUAUCUAGGGGUUCUCUAAUUAGGGAGGCAAAGGACGUGCUAGUGGAAAUGGGAUGCUAUAAGAGAAUUCUCCGUGAAAUCAGCUUAUGAGUGCUUGGCUAAUUUCUACAUAGACCCUCUAAAUGGGGUGUUUAAAUAGUUGUGACAAACCAAAGUAAUGCCCAAGGUCUUGACUACUUCCUGGAGG